Quercus robur (English oak) is the source of this 2938-nucleotide long non-coding RNA. RefSeq lists it as uncharacterized. The transcript has 5 exons. The record is from RefSeq and is a predicted model, not a curated record. Lineage: Eukaryota; Viridiplantae; Streptophyta; Magnoliopsida; Fagales; Fagaceae.
UGGAACUCUCUUUUCCCUCUCGAACUCUCCGGAUAUCUUCUUUCUCUCUUUUCUCUCUAGAAGAACUCUCUGUAUCUCCUCUCUCUCUUUUCUCUCUACCAUUUCAGGACAAGAGGACCAUAUCGGCUCAAAAUUUUCUGGUUUCGUCAAUCACUGCCCAAAAUCACCAUUUCAUCUACCUCUAUCUACACUCUACUGCUUUGUCUUUAUCUUAUCAUUGUUUUAUUUGGGCUUAUAUGGGCUUAAUUAAAAGAAAAGCACAUAACCCACGGCCACAUCUCUUCUAUAUCUCUUAUGGUUCACCAAACGAUUUUGCCUAGGAAAGAAAAGCAAGUCUAGCGGGCAAAAGUGGAAAAAAAAAUGUUCUUCUUCUGGCAGACUCUGACAGAGAGAUAAGCUUAGCUGAGUACAUGUGGGUUUCCAUUGCAAUCCGUACAUAUUUGCGAAGAUAAGGCUCAAAGACAGAGGGUUGUAGGUUUGUAGUGGUAGAGGAUUGUGUGGUUUAAAGGAUGGUCGUGGGUUAUGUGCUUUUCUUGGAAGUUGAGAUUGUUGGUGGAGAUUGUCGGUGGGUAUGGAUUUCUUGGAGGUUGAGAGAGAGGAGUAGAAGAUCAGAUAAAACUUUUUGCUGUUCUGUGGUUCGGCAUUCUCAACUAAUCACAAUACAGGUGUCUCUCUCUAAAGUUCUCUUCUCUAUGGCUUGAUUGAUUUUUUUAAGACUAAUUUAUCAUUCUUUUUUAGUUUCGUUCUCUUCUCUAUGGGUUGAUUGAUUUCUUAAAGACUGAUUUAUCAUUCUCUUUUAGUUCCGUUGCUUCAUUUUUUAUUAAAUAUUUGAUGAAGAAAUAUGGAGUCUAUGGGUUGAUUGAUUUUUUUAAGAUUGAUUAUCAUUCUAUUUUAGUUCCGUUAAACAUUUGAUGAAGAAAUAUGGAGUGGUUAUUGAAUAUUUAUUUUUAUACAUGCAUGUUAUUAAUGUCAACUUUGUUUUCUGAUAGUGUUUGCUUUGGAAUUUGGGAUGUAGAGCGACCAAAUUGAGAUGAGUAAAACCAAUCGUAUAUAUUCAUCAUACUUUGUUUUCCUCUUCUUCUAUUAAUCUAGAGCCUACAACAUAUUAAUUCAUUUUUUAACAAUAUUAAAAAAUUAGUUACAUUUGGUAUUUUAUAUCUCUCUUCCGUUUAAUUUUGUUUUCAAUUUGGCGAAUUUUUUUAUUAAAAAAAACACAUAUUUUAUAUUAUUGUUUCAUUUUUUUUUUUAUCUGGUAUGAUAGCUAGCUAAAGGAUCUCAGUCUAAUUGAAGCUCAGCCUGCUAAAUUAGGAAAUCUUGCUCAUUUGUGAAAAAUGUAAGAGAAAUAUGUAUGUUUUGCUUGAUUAUAAAAGUCAUAAACUCAUCAUGUUAUUAUUUUGCUCAAUAGUUCUUAGAGAUUAUUAAUUUUUGGCAGUUGUUAAUAAGUAAUCCAUACAAAUUCCAUUGUUUAAGUCUAUGAAAAUUUUCUAGUCAUAUGAUUUGUGUGUGAUAGUUUUCUAUUGUGUGUAAGUUCUAUAAACAGCUUUCUACAACUGUUAUUGUAUUCUUGGUGUUAAUUGUGUAGUGUAUGAGAUUAGUCUUUGUUAUAACUUAAUUUGGCCAAACUUUGGCUUCGGUGUUUUCUUUCAACUCACACGACAGGUAUUUUCUAUCUCUAAAUUUCUCUAUAGUUUGAUUGAUUUCUAUCUCUCUUUUUCUUUUGUUUAUUAUAUUGAGAUACUAAUUUCACAAAAUUGGUAGUGAGCUUUUAAACAUGUUUGAUGACAGCUUUGACUCAAGGCUGGGAAUUUUGCCAAAACCCAAUUCUCUGAAAUUUCAGUGGGUUUUUCAUUCUCGUUUUAGAUAUCCUUCUUUAAUCUGUGUUGAUAUUUGAAUUUUGCCUGAAGUUUUGUCAUUCAAUUUCACUUCCUUCUAGCUUUGUCAUGGUUCCAUUGCUGAUCUGUGAAGAAAUAGUAGAGUAAUACAAACCAGUGGGUGGUUCUAUUUUUACAUUUAUAGCCCAAAGAUUUUGGUACAUAGUAUGCAAUUCUUGAUUAACCUAGGGAAUCCUCCAAAUCAAAAGCCCCAAACCUUAUGACAACACCCCAGUCCUAUGUAUGUUUCACAAAAUUCCCCAAAGAACACAAAGGAAGAGAUCUUCAUAAAUUUCUCUAAGAUGUCAAUGGCAUACUUCUUCUUUCUCUCCUCAAAUUAUUGUUAUAAGGUGAAUUUCUUUUCCUAUCCUAUAUUUCUUUCUUGUUCAUCUCUUUGUUUAAGAUGUGAAAAAUUUUCUCACUUUUGGUGUUAACACAAUUAAAGGUGCUAUGAAACAACAUGCCUCAAAGAAAAUAUUUGUUAAAAUAGGAGGCUUUGUUCUUCAAGCUAUGGAAAUGGUGGAAAAUUAGUCGAAACUCAAAUGCAAUUGUCACUAGAGAUAGCAUGAUCGACCAUUAUUCACAAUGCACAGAAUCAAGUCUCAUGCUGAGUUGUAUGGGUUCGUGGCCAUGUUUAGGGAGAAAAAUUGUGCCCAAUUAUAUAGCUACACAUAUGAUCACAAGCUAGCUAGACCAAACUAAUGAGCCAUAUUGGAUUGAGAAAUGCUGGUGAAUUUGUUUUGUGGGCUAGUAGGUUCAUCAUACAUUAAUUUUCAAGAUUUUUGGUGAUUUACUAAAUUACAUGUGUCCUGGUGAUUAAUUAAAAUUAUAUCACACCAACUUUGAGAGUUGAAGGAGUUCUUGCUUUCUUGUGCAUUGGGUGAUAGACUCUCGACGUAAUAUGUAGCUGCUGAUCCAAAAUUUUAGGAGGAAAAGAUUGAUGCUUCCCUUGAGGUUCUUAUCUUAUCCUUGCUAAUGACGAAUUAUGAGAUGUUGUCACAUGUGAGGCUGAUGCUUUGGUUAAAACCAAUCUAGGAGCUGGAACAUGUAGCAAAGAGGUUGAUGUA